This is a non-coding RNA of Paramuricea clavata, 464 nucleotides long. The record is from the annotation of a GenBank genome assembly. NCBI's taxonomy places the organism in Eukaryota, Metazoa, Cnidaria, Anthozoa, Malacalcyonacea, Plexauridae.
CAAACUUUCUGAUUUUUUUUAAAAAACUUUCCUAAAUUUAACAAACAGUUAAGGUUUACUUUAUUACUAAGUGGAACUUAUUUGAAUAUAUGGAUGAACUGAAGCAGUAAACUAUACUUUUUUUUGCAAUGUGAGAUGGAGAAAAUGAAAGAAAAGUGAUUGUCAUGUAUGGCAAGGAAAACUACAACCAGACUACAGGAUGAUGUUCUUUGGAAUAUGUUUUGUGUUAUAAGGAAGGAAAAACAAUCAGCAUUCAAAAGUAUAUAUUAAUUGUUCAGCAAAGCAAUGUCAUAAUUUGGAAUAUUGAGGCUGCAGAUAAGAUCAGCAGUUCUUUGUGCUCUGUGUUAAUCGAUGCAUAAUUUGAUAAGAUUUGAAUCAAAAUUCAAGGACAGAGUUAACCAUAUUUUUAGUAUUUAUCGAAAUUUGUGUGUGUUUCAUCACACAUGAGAUAGGCAAUGACUGAG